This 254-nucleotide ribosomal RNA is filed under the name uncultured bacterium. RNAcentral describes it as "partial 16S ribosomal RNA". It matches the Rfam family "Bacterial small subunit ribosomal RNA", at positions 524 to 776 of the family's 1533-position model. The record is from RNAcentral.
CACGUAGGGUGCGAGCGUUGUCCGGAAUUAUUGGGCGUAAAGAGCUCGUAGGCGGUGUGUCGCGUCGGCCGUGAAAACCUGCAGCUUAACUGUGGGCUUGCGGUCGAUACGGGCAUCACUGGAGUUCGGCAGGGGAGACUGGAAUUCCUGGUGUAGCGGUGAAAUGCGCAGAUAUCAGGAGGAACACCGGUGGCGAAGGCGGGUCUCUGGGCCGAUACUGACGCUGAGGAGCGAGAGCGUGGGGAGCGAACAGG